This 245-nucleotide ribosomal RNA is filed under the name uncultured bacterium. RNAcentral describes it as "partial 16S ribosomal RNA". It matches the Rfam family "Bacterial small subunit ribosomal RNA", at positions 532 to 776 of the family's 1533-position model. The record is from RNAcentral.
GAGCUAGCGUUGUUCGGAAUUACUGGGCGUAAAGCGCGCGUAGGCGGCUUUGUAAGUUAGAGGUGAAAGCCCGGGGCUCAACCCCGGAAUUGCCUUUAAGACUGCAUCGCUUGAAUCCGGGAGAGGUGAGUGGAAUUCCGAGUGUAGAGGUGAAAUUCGUAGAUAUUCGGAAGAACACCAGUGGCGAAGGCGGCUCACUGGACCGGCAUUGACGCUGAGGUGCGAAAGCGUGGGGAGCAAACAGG